This 254-nucleotide ribosomal RNA is filed under the name uncultured prokaryote. Its description in RNAcentral is "partial 16S ribosomal RNA". It matches the Rfam family "Bacterial small subunit ribosomal RNA", at positions 525 to 777 of the family's 1533-position model. The record is from RNAcentral.
ACGGGGGGGGGCAAGCGUUGUUCGGAAUUACUGGGCGUAAAGGGCUCGUAGGCGGCCAACUAAGUCGGAUGUGAAAUCCCCAGGCUCAACUUGGGAACUGCAUCCGAUACUGGAUGGCUUGAAUUCGGGAGAGGGAUGCAGAAUUCCAGGUGUAGCGGUGAAAUGCGUAGAUAUCUGGAGGAAUACCGGUGGCGAAGGCGGCAUCCUGGACCGACAUUGACGCUGAGGAGCGAAAGCCAGGGGAGCAAACAGGA